RNAcentral lists this ribosomal RNA (385 nucleotides) under uncultured bacterium. RNAcentral describes it as "bacterial SSU rRNA". It matches the Rfam family "Bacterial small subunit ribosomal RNA", at positions 28 to 414 of the family's 1533-position model. The record is from RNAcentral.
GACGAACGCUGGCGGCGUGCUUAACACAUGCAAGUCGAGCGGUAAGGCCCUUUCGGGGGUACACGAGCGGCGAACGGGUGAGUAACACGUGGGUGACCUGCCCGCAGCUCUGGGAUAAGCCUGGGAAACUGGGUCUAAUACUGGAUAUGACUCCACGGUGCAUGUCGUGGGGUGGAAAGCCUUGUGCGGCUGAGGAUGGGCCCGCGGCCUAUCAGCUUGUUGGUGGGGUGANGGCCUACCAAGGCGACGACGGGUAGCCGGCCUGAGAGGGCGACCGGCCACACUGGGACUGAGACACGGCCCAGACUCCUACGGGAGGCAGCAGUGGGGAAUCUUGCGCAAUGGGCGAAAGCCUGACGCAGCGACGCCGCGUGAGGGAUGACGG